This 582-nucleotide ribosomal RNA is filed under the name Dendrocincla fuliginosa atrirostris. Its description in RNAcentral is "partial 16S ribosomal RNA". It matches the Rfam family "Bacterial large subunit ribosomal RNA", at positions 1843 to 2628 of the family's 2925-position model. The record is from RNAcentral. Lineage: Eukaryota; Metazoa; Chordata; Aves; Passeriformes; Dendrocolaptidae.
GUAUUGAAGGUGAUGCCUGCCCAGUGACAACACGUUAAACGGCCGCGGUAUCCUAACCGUGCAAAGGUAGCGCAAUCAAUUGUCUCAUAAAUCGGGACUUGUAUGAAUGGCUUAACGAGGUCUUAACUGUCUCCUGUAGAUAAUCAGUGAAAUUGAUCUCCCUGUGCAAAAGCAGGAAUAACCCCAUAAGACGAGAAGACCCUGUGGAACUUAAAAAUCAGCAGUCACUCCUACACAAUAAUCCCCUCCUACUGGACACCCCUACACCCGGGACAAUACUGACGCGCAUUUUUCGGUUGGGGCGACCUUGGAGCACAACAAACCCUCCAAAAAUAAGACCAUCCCUCUUAACCAAGAACAACCAAUCAACGUACUAACAGUGACCAGACCCAAUAUAAUUGAUUAAUGGACCAAGCUACCCCAGGGAUAACAGCGCAAUCUCCCCCAAGAGCUCCCAUCGACGGGGAGGUUUACGACCUCGAUGUUGGAUCAGGACAUCCUAGUGGUGUAGCCGCUACUAAGGGUUCGUUUGUUCAACGAUUAAUAGUCCUACGUGAUCUGAGUUCAGACCGGCCUGUGUGA